This 548-nucleotide ribosomal RNA is filed under the name Limosilactobacillus reuteri. RNAcentral describes it as "bacterial SSU rRNA". It matches the Rfam family "Bacterial small subunit ribosomal RNA", at positions 336 to 875 of the family's 1533-position model. The record is from RNAcentral. Lineage: Bacteria; Bacillati; Bacillota; Bacilli; Lactobacillales; Lactobacillaceae.
CUCCUACGGGAGGCAGCAGUAGGGAAUCUUCCACAAUGGGCGCAAGCCUGAUGGAGCAACACCGCGUGAGUGAAGAAGGGUUUCGGCUCGUAAAGCUCUGUUGUUGGAGAAGAACGUGCGUGAGAGUAACUGUUCACGCAGUGACGGUAUCCAACCAGAAAGUCACGGCUAACUACGUGCCAGCAGCCGCGGUAAUACGUAGGUGGCAAGCGUUAUCCGGAUUUAUUGGGCGUAAAGCGAGCGCAGGCGGUUGCUUAGGUCUGAUGUGAAAGCCUUCGGCUUAACCGAAGAAGUGCAUCGGAAACCGGGCGACUUGAGUGCAGAAGAGGACAGUGGAACUCCAUGUGUAGCGGUGGAAUGCGUAGAUAUAUGGAAGAACACCAGUGGCGAAGGCGGCUGUCUGGUCUGCAACUGACGCUGAGGCUCGAAAGCAUGGGUAGCGAACAGGAUUAGAUACCCUGGUAGUCCAUGCCGUAAACGAUGAGUGCUAGGUGUUGGAGGGUUUCCGCCCUUCAGUGCCGGAGCUAACGCCUUAAGCACUCNUCCUG